GCCCGGGUAGCUCAAUCGGUAGAGCGUGUGGCUCUUAUCCCUAUGGAUCGAAACCUCAAGGUCGCGAGUUCGAGCCUCGCCUCGGGCU
This 88-nucleotide transfer RNA is filed under the name Trichodelitschia bisporula. It matches the Rfam family "tRNA". Rfam says of the family: Transfer RNA (tRNA) molecules are approximately 80 nucleotides in length. Their secondary structure includes four short double-helical elements and three loops (D, anti-codon, and T loops). Lineage: Eukaryota; Fungi; Ascomycota; Dothideomycetes; Phaeotrichales; Phaeotrichaceae. The record is from Rfam by way of RNAcentral.